GUCUCCCAGCCACUGGUGUGGUCCCUGGUCUGCAGGAAGCCACCUGCCCAAGGAGCUUGCUGUGUGGCCCAGGGCCUCUACCUCAACCGCCCAUCCCAGGGGCAAAUGAUUGGAGCCUCAAAAUCUUUCAAUUGAUAAAACCGAGCGGAAGCCCCAGCGGGCAGCAGAGCCUCCUCUCCCAGGCACGGUCGGCACCGACUGGAAGGUCCUCGGGUUGCCCUGCCCACAGGGCUCCCUCUGGCCUUAGCCGCAGCCAGCUGCACCUGGCAGAUCAGCAGUUUACUGCUCAGGGCUGAGGACUGGGGCCAGCUCCCACUUCAGCCUUUCACUACUGGACAAAAAUGAGAGCUGUUUCUCAUGCCAGGCUGAGGAUGGAGCUCUGACCUGUCCGGCACGGAGGAGGGUUUACUGAAGGCAGAGCAGGGGCUGUUCCUGGGGGAUGUAAACAGAUACUCCCUGAGCACUUCCUAUGCGCCAACUCACUCAGUCUUCACACCCACUGGGCACUUUGAACCUCUUCACAAAGCUGAGUCAGCUUUGAGGCCGAGAAGGGACGUGCCCAGCAGCGGCCCAGCCUGAGAACGCACGGCCAGGAUUCAAACUCAGAGUCUCCAGGACCACACUCUGCCCAGGUCAGAAGAAACCCGGAGGGCAAAAGCGUGGCUGUGAACACAACUUGGAAAGACAGCUCCUCUGCCAGCAGAGUCCACCCAACAGAAAACAGGCCCUGCUUUUCCAGCCCUCUCGAAGGAUCAGGACGUGAAGGGGUGUCUCUGCGCUGAGAGUGGGGAACCCCGUCCUGUGCAGGGAACGCUGCUGGAAGACUGGAUGCUCCUGACAGAACCUCUGCCCCAGGAAGCUCCCAGAGGGGAAUAAAGGAAACCCAAUCCAGUGGUCUGGAAUAAUAUAAUGGGCAAAAUAUCAGGAAAAGUGUAAAAAGCUACCCGCACAUCAACGUAAUCUUAGCACUAUCGUUGGACGUGUCGCUACUCAAGGUACCGUCUGUGGAGCACCUACCAGGUGCCGGGCUCUGCACCUGAAACCUGCCCCUUGAUGAUCCUGGGGUCCUCAAUACCCUGCACCACCAGAGGACACACUCUGAGGGGGCUGGAAAGCGGAUGGUCUGGCUCUGAAUGCGGGUCACCUGUCCCCCAUGUGGGCACUCCCUACGGUGACCCAGCAGCACCAGGACUGCUGUUCUGACCCGCUCAGGGCUGGAGGAGAGGAGAGGGCAGGGCAGUGGAGCCGAGCAACGUCUCGGUUCAGCGGGAGCAGCCCCCUCCAGGGAGCUCUGGCACAGAGGCCGCCGCGAACGGCGCUGCCGUACCUUUCCUGUCCGUCUCAGUAGCGUGGACCAGUAGGAUGUCACCAGAUCCUCCCCGGACGUCUGGUCCGUCGUCGCCCUGCAAAACCACAGCAAAGGAGGGCGUGAAGCAGAAUGCAGCCGUAAGAAAGUCCGUUUAGGGAGCCACAAGCAGGGACGAGAUGACAAAGACACGGUGUUGCAGAGACGCCAGGUCCUCUCUGCCCUGCCCUCCCUCACUCCGGGAGCAGCGUGGCCGGGCUGCAGAGGCCAGGUGCACCCAUCCAGCCCGCCCACCGCAUGGCACAGCGCUCUGAGGACACCACUGGCUCAGGGGGGCAUGGCUCCAGUCAGUCUUUCCCUGUUCACCAGCCCACGGCUCAGGGCGGAAGAGGGGACAGAGGGAGCCGACGGGGAGGCAGGCAGGACCGGCACCGGCCCUUCCCAGGAUGAUGGUGGAGGCGGCAGACCACUUCCAGCCUAGCCACGUGUGUGUGUAGAACACGGCCGCCUCCUCGGCGGGGGUCAAGGCUACCACCGGGAGCCAUUCCUGUGUGUCCCCAGAAUCACUCGGCAGCAGGGAGACGGGAGGCCCUCUCAGGUUAGCUCCUCUUGCUGUGCCGGGUUUGGGCACCGUGUUUACCCAUGAGGCUCUCCUGACAAGACAUGGGACGGAGGCAGCCUCGGCGGCCAGGCCUGAAAUUUCUUAAUUCGCUGUGCUUCCCGCGCUGACACUACACUGGGGUCAUUCUGUCAUUAACAACAUAAAAAUAUCUUACACUAGCGAGGGCUCACCACACACGGGCUCCGUGCUGAGCACCCUCGUGGAUUUCCUUCUCACAACACCCUCCAGAGUCCUGUCAUUUGGGGCUUAGAGAGGACAUGUCACUUGCCCAAGAUCACUCUCCAGAAGUGUCAGAGAAGGGGACAGCACACUUCCUCCUGGAAGUCACCCAUGUGUCCAGGGUCUUAGAGCACCCACGGUGGCCCAGGCAUGGGGCCAGGACGAACGGGAUGCCAGAGCCCGCCGCCCAGGAGGGCCACCUGGGGGGGGUCAGCACUCGGCUUGGGCCUUUCUGUUUGGGACACCGCCAGGUUCCCUUCUCAAAGCCCCCCACCCUCUUUCUGGGCCAGACCCUGCACAUGAAGGCCUGUGAGGAGCCCACCUCUUGCUUGAGCGUCAGCCUUGCCAUGAUCUCAUUGUGGUCAAUGAGGGACAGCUCGUCUACUUCCUCCUCCGACUGAGCCUCUGGAGCAUCUGGUGACUUCAGGGCCCUGGAGAGAGAAAUGGUUUGUGUUGUGUCAACAGACCCUGAGCUCCACGGCUCCCGGGGGCCAAGGCAGCGUGGCCCCGUGCGCGGGGUCUGUGUGGCAUAGCCGCUCCCCUGAACGAGUCCUCCCCGGACUGCGGCUCCAGCGAGAAGCCCAGACCCGCUUCCCACCCCUCCACAGGGGGCCCGGGGGGUGGACAAGAGGCCGGGAUGCAGACUGGGUUUCUAGCUCUGCUCCUGCUAAGCUGUGUGACCUGGGGACAGUCCCUGCUCUCUCCGGACACUCCAUCAGUAAGUGGAAGGGAUUAAGCACGCAGAGCAAGAAGGUUCCACUGAGCAAUUUGAAAAAGUAAUGGUCUCAGUCACCUGUGUCAAGGCCCACAGACUGCAUGGACUGUCAGUACUCAAGGAGAGAAUGGCAAAGGGCCAGCGGGACGGGGGAACCAGCCAGCAUGAUCUCAAUGCCAUCCCCAGGUCUUUCCUCUGGGCCACCUCUCUAGUGGACUGAAGAGGAGCAUGAAGCAGGCCCUUGUCCGCGGGUGCCGGUGGACAGUAGCAUGAGCAGGGGUCCAGCCUGAGCCAAGGGCAGGGAAGGCGUGAAGAUGGGACAGGCAAGCUGGGACUGAAGCGCUGAGUAGGAGUUUGGGUGAAGGGGGAGGAGGAGAGAACCUCCAACAGACGAAGCACUGGGGAGCCUGCAGAGAGGGGACAGCAGGCAGAUGGAUGUGGGGUCUGCGGGCGCCGCGCUUUCCCCCAGCAUUUUCUCCCAUAUUCCCAUCAUUCUCAUGAUCGACCCUGUGAGCCACUGACUGGCCUUGUGGUCGCAGGCUUCAUUUUUAACCCUAAGCAUCUGAGACAUUAAAACCUGGGCCUUCUGGGAAUUCCCUGGCAGUCCAGUGAUUAGACUCCGUGCUUUCACUGCUGAGGGCCUGGGUUCAAUCCCUGGUUGGCGAACUAAGCUCCCACAAGCCACACGGUACGGGCGAAAAAACCCAAAUCAAAACAAAACAAACAAACAAAACCCCCGGGCCUUCAGUAAGACAACAUGGAUGGGCCAGAGCAAAACCACGCGCAGUCCCGGGACGAAGCCUCAGCUGCACGUCAGCGUCCGGUUUGUGGCCAGGCCUUCGUGGAAAGAGGACAACAUCCCAGUGACCACCUCUAGCCAGUCAGCGUGCCCACCCUUCUGCUUCUGGUGCAGGGGCCGCCUGAACGCUGAAAGAUGGCACCCCUGGGUCCAGCGGAGCUAGAGCCCAUGAGCUGCUGUUGUCUGGCACAGACGCCUCUGCCACUGCGUGUUAGACUAGACAACCCAUCACCCCUUAACACUUGGGGAGACCUGAGCCUGGGCCACUGAAUCAGACUCCGUGUGGACGGUACUGAGGGGCAGCCAGAGUAGGCUGGGCAGGCAGCCCUUGUCAACAGGCCCCUAGAGAAUGCUUUCUAUUUUUUUCCCUGUCUCUUGCUAUUUUUACCACAUCUUUAACCAUUUAUGUUUAGGCCUGACAAUAGCAAGUGGGUAUGCUUAGCUCUGUACCCAGGACUCCAGAAGUAGCCGAACCUUAGCCUAAAGAGGGAGGAAAAGCUUGAAUUUGUGGAGCAUUUCACAAAGAAGGGGAAAUCAACAUGAAGUCGCAGGUGGCAGGGCUGAUUCACAGGUCCUGCACGUUAUCCUUUCUACGUGUGGACUGGAGAAAUUUACUACAUAUUUCCAAACCUGGGCAGGUUUGACUCAUGCUAAUGUUGAAAAUGUUACCAAAGAUUAAAAAGACGUAUGACUAAAUGCAGAGAUGACUCCUGAUUGACCCUGGUUCCAAAAAAUAAGCCUUAUAAGACAUAUUAGGGAGAGCUAGGGAAAUGGAAGAUCAUUUGCAUAUCAGAUAAUGUGAAGAAUUUAUUACUCUUCUUAGGUGUGAUAAUCACACUGUAAUCAGGUAGGCAUCUAAAAUUUUUUAG
Molecule: long non-coding RNA, 4530 nt
Organism: Eubalaena glacialis (North Atlantic right whale)
Lineage: Eukaryota; Metazoa; Chordata; Mammalia; Artiodactyla; Balaenidae
Exons: 3
Source: RefSeq, a predicted model, not a curated record